Non-coding RNA from Paramuricea clavata, 509 nucleotides. Lineage: Eukaryota; Metazoa; Cnidaria; Anthozoa; Malacalcyonacea; Plexauridae. The record is from the annotation of a GenBank genome assembly.
CCUAGAUUUAUUUAAGCAUUAAUCCAUCAAAGUUUUCCGCGGUUUUCGAAAGGAGAAAGUGAUCUUAUGAUUUUUACUUCCUAUAAGAACAUAUACAAUGACGGGUAUACUGUAUUUGAAUAAAACUUUUAAAAUUGGCCUAUUAUGCAUCUCGCGUGUUGCAUGUAUUCGAAUAUAAUUAUGGAGCAUCUGUGUCUCACGGAAUAUAUGCGAGCCACUUACGAACCCACAAACGGGCGUACGCAGGCGGAAGUUUAGGGUGUAUAAAAAAACUGCACUCUUAAAACAUGGAACCGUCAUAGAUUUGAAUCGGUUCGUUUCUUAGGUUGAAAUUUACAAAUCCAGUCCGCAACGAAUGAUUCUACUCGUUGCCACCUAAUUCACGUUUUGCGAUAAGUCGUAUUUCGUUCAUAAUAGCGAGCUUUUAAAAGCAGUCUUUACUGCAGACAGGUAUUCACCCAUAAUCCGUUUCUUGUAUAAAUCAGGCCAUGAAUCCGUUCCAUGAUUGC